This 253-nucleotide ribosomal RNA is filed under the name uncultured bacterium. RNAcentral describes it as "partial 16S ribosomal RNA". It matches the Rfam family "Bacterial small subunit ribosomal RNA", at positions 524 to 776 of the family's 1533-position model. The record is from RNAcentral.
GACAGAGGAUGCAAGCGUUAUCCGGAAUGAUUGGGCGUAAAGCGUCUGUAGGUGGCUUUUUAAGUCUGCCGUCAAAUCCCAGGGCUUAACCCUGGACAGGCGGUGGAAACUACCAAGCUGGAGUACGGUAGGGGCAGGGGGAAUUUCCGGUGGAGCGGUGAAAUGCGCAGAUAUCAGGAGGAACACCGAUGGCGAAGGCAGGUCUCUGGGCCACUACUGACGCUGAGAAGCGAAAGCGUGGGGAGCGAACAGG